AGCAGUGGGGAAUAUUGCACAAUGGGCGAAAGCCUGAUGCAGCGACGCCGCGUGAGGGAUGACGGCCUUCGGGGUUGUAAACCUCUUUCAGCAGGGAAGAAGCGAAAGUGACGGUACCUGCAGAAGAAGCGCCGGCUAACUACGUGCCAGCAGCCGCGGUAAUACGUAGGGCGCAAGCGUUGUCCGGAAUUAUUGGGCGUAAAGAGCUCGUAGGCGGCUUGUCGCGUCGGUUGUGAAAGCCCGGGGCUUAACCCCCGGGUCUGCAGUCGAUACGGGCAGGCUAGAGUUCGGUAGGGGAGAUCGGAAUUCCUGGUGUAGCGGUGAAAUGCGCAGAUAUCAGGAGGAACACCGGUGGCGAAGGCGGAUCUCUGGGCCGAUACUGACGCUGAGGAGCGAAAGCGUGGGGAGCGAACAGGAUUAGAUACCCUGGUAGUCCACGCCGUAAACGGUGGGCACUAGGUGUGGGCAACAUUCCACGUUGUCCGUGCCGCAGCUAACGCAUUAAGUGCCCCGCCUGGGGGAGUACGGCCGCAAGGCUAAAACUCAAAGGAAUUGACGGGGGCCCGCACAAGCGGCGGAGCAUGUGGCUUAAUUCGACGCAACGCGAAGAACCUUACCAAGGCUUGACAUACACCGGAAAGCAUCAAAGAUGGUGCCCCCCUUGUGGUCGGUGUACAGGUGGUGCAUGGCUGUCGUCAGCUCGUGUCGUGGAAAUGUUGGGGUUAAGUCCCCGCAACGAACCGCAACCCUUUGUCCCGGUGUUGCCAGCAGGCCCUUUGUGGUGCUUGGGGACUCACGGGAAGACCGCCGGGGUCAACUUCGGAAGGAAGGUGGGGGACGAACGUCAAGUCAUCAUGGCCCCUUAAUGUCUUGGGGCUGC
Molecule: ribosomal RNA, 880 nt
Filed under: Streptomyces sp.
Lineage: Bacteria; Bacillati; Actinomycetota; Actinomycetes; Kitasatosporales; Streptomycetaceae
Description: bacterial SSU rRNA
Rfam family: Bacterial small subunit ribosomal RNA
Source: RNAcentral